Molecule: ribosomal RNA, 472 nt
Filed under: uncultured bacterium
Lineage: Bacteria
Description: partial 16S ribosomal RNA
Rfam family: Bacterial small subunit ribosomal RNA
Source: RNAcentral
GAUGAACGCUGACAGAAUGCUUAACACAUGCAAGUCUACUUGAUCCUUCGGGUGAUGGUGGCGGACGGGUGAGUAACGCGUAAAGAACUUGCUCUGCAGUCUGGGACAACAUUUGGAAACGAAUGCUAAUACCGGAUAUUAUGUGAGUUUCGCAUGAAAUUCAUAUGAAAGCUAUAUGCGCUGCAGGAGAGCUUUGCGUCCUAUUAGCUAGUUGGUGAGGUAACGGCUCACCAAGGCGAUGAUAGGUAGCCGGCCUGAGAGGGUGAACGGCCACAAGGGGACUGAGACACGGCCCUUACUCCUACGGGAGGCAGCAGUGGGGAAUAUUGGACAAUGGACCAAAAGUCUGAUCCAGCAAUUCUGUGUGCACGAUGAAGUUUUUCGGAAUGUAAAGUGCUUUCAGUUGGGACGAAGUAAGUGACGGAACCAACAGAAGAAGCGACGGCUAAAUACGUGCCAGCCGCCGCGGUAA